RNAcentral lists this microRNA precursor (102 nucleotides) under Marmota monax (woodchuck). Lineage: Eukaryota; Metazoa; Chordata; Mammalia; Rodentia; Sciuridae. The record is from RNAcentral.
AAUGGAAUUGCUGGGUCACAUGGUAAUUUAUGUUUAAUUUUUUUUCAGGAACUGCCAAAUUAUUUAACAAUGACUGUACCGUUCUACAUUUCUAUCAGCAGU